AGUGGCGGACGGGUGAGUAACGCGUAAGAAUCUGGCUUCAGGAGGGGGACAACGGUUGGAAACGACUGCUAAUACCCCAUAUGUCUACGGAUGAAACGGUGAAUUCCGCCUGAAGAUGAGCUCGCGUCGGAUUAGCUAGUUGGUGAGGUAAAGGCUCACCAAGGCGACGAUCCGUAGCUGGUCUGAGAGGAUGAUCAGCCACACUGGGACUGAGACACGGCCCAGACUCCUACGGGAGGCAGCAGUGGGGAAUUUUCCGCAAUGGGCGAAAGCCUGACGGAGCAACGCCGCGUGCGGGGAGACGGCCUGUGGGUUGUAAACCGCUUUUCUCUGGGAAGAAUAAAUUGACGGUACCAGAGGAAUCAGCAUCGGCUAACUCCGUGCUAGCAGCCGCGGUAAUACGGAGGAUGCAAGCGUUAUCCGGAAUUAUUGGGCGUAAAGCGUCCGCAGGCGGCUUAUCAAGUCUGCUGUUAAAGGUCGGGGCUCAACUCCGGUUAGGCAGUGGAAACUGAUAGGCUAGAGUGUGGUAGGGGUAGAGGGAAUUCCCAGUGUAGCGGUGAAAUGCGUAGAUAUUGGGAAGAACACCAGUGGCGAAGGCGCUCUACUGGGCCACAACUGACGCUGAGGGACGAAAGCUAGGGGAGCGAAAGGGAUUAGAUACCCCUGUAGUCCUAGCCGUAAACGAUGGACACUAGGUGUUG
RNAcentral lists this ribosomal RNA (701 nucleotides) under uncultured Oscillatoriales cyanobacterium. Its description in RNAcentral is "bacterial SSU rRNA". It matches the Rfam family "Bacterial small subunit ribosomal RNA", at positions 94 to 825 of the family's 1533-position model. The record is from RNAcentral. Lineage: Bacteria; Bacillati; Cyanobacteriota; Cyanophyceae; Oscillatoriales.